UGGGGAAUAUUGGACAAUGGGGGCAACCCUGAUCCAGCAAUUCUGUGUGCACGAAGAAGGUUUUCGGAUUGUAAAGUGCUUUCAGCAGGGAAGAAGAAAGUGACGGUACCUGCAGAAGAAGCGACGGCUAAAUACGUGCCAGCAGCCGCGGUAAUACGUAUGUCGCAAGCGUUAUCCGGAAUUAUUGGGCAUAAAGGGCAUCUAGGCGGCCCUGUAAGUCUAGGGUGAAAACCUGCGGCUCAACCGCAGGCCUGCCCCGGAAACUACAGGGCUAGAGUAUCGGAGAGGUGGACGGAACUGCACGAGUAGAGGUGAAAUUCGUAGAUAUGUGCAGGAAUGCCGAUGAUGAAGAUAGUUCACUGGACGGUAACUGACGCUGAAGUGCGAAAGCUAGGGGAGCAAACAGGAUUAGAUACCCUGGUAGUCCUAGCUGUAAACGAUGAUUACUGGGUGUGGGCAUGAAGAGUGUCCGUGCCGAAGCAAAUGCGAUAAGUAAUCCGCCUGGNGGUACGGCCGCAAGGCUG
RNAcentral lists this ribosomal RNA (524 nucleotides) under uncultured bacterium. Its description in RNAcentral is "bacterial SSU rRNA". It matches the Rfam family "Bacterial small subunit ribosomal RNA", at positions 355 to 896 of the family's 1533-position model. The record is from RNAcentral.